AGUGAACGCUGGCGGUAGGCCUAACACAUGCAAGUCGAACGGCAGCACAGUAAGAGCUUGCUCUUACGGUUGGCGAGUGGCGGACGGGUGAGGAAUACAUCGGAAUCUACUUUUUCGUGGGGGAUAACGUAGGGAAACUUACGCUAAUACCGCAUACGACCUACGGGUGAAAGCAGGGGAUCUUCGGACCUUUCGCGAUUGAAUGAGCCGAUGUCGGAUUAGCUAGUUGGCGGGGUAAAGGCCCACCAAGGCGACGAUCCGUAGCUGGUCUGAGAGGAUGAUCAGCCACACUGGAACUGAGACACGGUCCAGACUCCUACGGGAGGCAGCAGUGGGGAAUAUUGGACAAUGGGCGCAAGCCUGAUCCAGCAAUACCGCGUGGGUGAAGAAGGCCUUCGGGUUGUAAAGCCCUUUUGUUGGGAAAGAAAAGAAGUAGGUUAAUACCCCGCUGUUCUGACGGUACCCAAAGAAUAAGCACCGGCUAACUUCGUG
Molecule: ribosomal RNA, 492 nt
Filed under: uncultured bacterium
Lineage: Bacteria
Description: partial 16S ribosomal RNA
Rfam family: Bacterial small subunit ribosomal RNA
Source: RNAcentral